Talpa occidentalis (Iberian mole) is the source of this 1254-nucleotide long non-coding RNA. RefSeq lists it as uncharacterized. The record is from RefSeq and is a predicted model, not a curated record. NCBI's taxonomy places the organism in Eukaryota, Metazoa, Chordata, Mammalia, Eulipotyphla, Talpidae. The transcript is spliced from 5 exons.
CUCAAACUUGAAAAUCUAUGCUGAAAUUAUCCAUAACCUAUGAGACUUGGAUGCAGGGCUGUUUGUGUGUUGGAAGAGGAUUCUUUGUACCCAAAGCACAGCCUCCCUAAGGACAGGAAGGAUGUUCAGGACAGACUUACACCUGGUGAAAGUUGGAACUUGGCCAACUGAUAGACCACCUGGUAGGUCAUUAUGAGCAAGUAGAAUUGGCCAUUAUGAGCCAAUUGCCUGGAGGUCAGAGAAGCAGCUGAGCAUCCCAUAGACAUCACCACAGCGUUCUCUACUCGUCACCAUGUGAAAUGUAAAUGAGAUCAGCUCAGUCCCUGUUUGACCUGGAAAAGUUUUCAGUCUAACCACUGUGGGAGCAUAAAAAUAAUCAAAAGGAUGGACUUGCUUGAAAGACAGACUUAUGUCUGAAUCCUAACUCCUCAGACCAUCGGCCCUUGGGACAGAGGAGACUCAAGCCAACGGCUGCCUGGAGAGCUGAAGACAGAGAGGUGGCUUGUGGCCAUGGCACCAACCUCCUGCCCACCGGUGCCUCUGCUUUCACCCUGGCCGCCCACUUCAGUCCUCUGUAUCACUGCUCUCGACGCUCCAAGUUAUUCUGCAGAGUUGUAGAAUUUCCACUAACAAACUACAUGUGUACGGCAUAUGUGUGGGUGAACACUCACGAGUGUCAUUGUGUAAACAGGCCCCCACCACCCAGAACAAACUUUCUGAGGAGGAGUUAGCUAUCUCAAGAACAUAUGAUGCAGUACUGUGUCUUCCAUUGAAGAGGAAUGGGUCAUGGAGAAGCCACCAAUGAGACUGAUGCGUGUCCUGGGCGUUUGCAAUGGUAUUAUUGACUGAUUUUCAUUAGCAUCACUAUCUUUAUUCAAACUCUGUCUCUUACACAAACAUACACACCCACAUACUCAUAUUCACAAAAAUACACAUGGGUUUCUGUCACACUGUAGCCCUGUUGUUUAUGGGGGCAUUGGCCAGUUAUCAGUAAAAUUAAAAGAAUGGAAGAUGGUUUUACUAGCAAUUUCCAAAUGUGUAUGUGCUCCCUAUUUGCCCUGGGUCUGUCUAGCAGGCAGACACAUUCCCUUGCAAGGAGGUGAGAGCCCAUUUCCCAAACCUUCCCCCUUUGGGUUUUCCCUGGUGUUAGUUUCAUCCUCAUUUUACUUGCAUGAACAUGGGCAUGAUGGUGAGGUGGUGAGGCUAAGAGGUAUUUUGGAGGAAGGAGGUAGGUAGGGACCUUACCCCCAGGAA